Molecule: ribosomal RNA, 504 nt
Filed under: uncultured bacterium
Lineage: Bacteria
Description: partial 16S ribosomal RNA
Rfam family: Bacterial small subunit ribosomal RNA
Source: RNAcentral
GACGAACGCUGGCGGCGUGCUUAACACAUGCAAGUCGAACGGUGAAGCGCUUGCCUUUUUGGUGGGUGUGGAUGAGUGGCGAACGGGUGAGUAACACGUGAGUAACCUGCCCUCUUCUUCUGGAUAACCUCAUGAAAGUGGGGCUAAUACGGGGUAUUCCGGGUCUGUCGCAUGGCGGGUUUGGGAAAGAUUGCGCCUUUGGGUGUUUUCGGUGGGGGAUGGGCUCGCGGCCUAUCAGCUUGUUGGUGGGGUGAUGGCCUACCAAGGCGGUGACGGGUAGCCGGCCUGAGAGGGUGGACGGCCACACUGGGACUGAGACACGGCCCAGACUCCUGCGGGAGGCAGCAGUGGGGAAUAUUGCGCAAUGGGCGCAAGCCUGAUGCAGCGACGCCGCGUGAGGGAUGGAGGCCUUCGGGUUGUGAACCUCUUUCGCCAGUGAAGCAGGCCUGCUCCUGUGUGGGUAGGUUGACGGUAGCUGGAUAAGAAGCGCCGGCUAACUACGUG